AACUUUGUUUCCUGGAGAUCUUAUUAAAUUGUAGAUUCUGAUUUAGAAAGUCUGAGGUAAGGCCUCAGAUUCUUUGUUUUAGCGAGCUUUCAGGACAUGAUGCU
Molecule: microRNA precursor, 104 nt
Filed under: Marmota monax (woodchuck)
Lineage: Eukaryota; Metazoa; Chordata; Mammalia; Rodentia; Sciuridae
Source: RNAcentral